UAAUAGUGUAUAUUAAAGUUGUUGCAGUUAAAAAGCUCGUAGUUGAAUGUUGGUGUCGAACGAGCGGUCAGCUUCGGCUGUACUGCUCUCUCGACUCCUUCCUUCUGUGGACUACGUCGCACUUUACUGUGUGGCGCUAGGACGCAGAUCGUUUACUGUGAAAAAAUUAGAGUGUUCAAAGCAGGCCGUACGCUUGAAUACAUUAGCAUGGAAUAAUGGAAUAGGACGUCGGGCCUAUUUUGUUGGUUCUAGGAUCGUCGUAAUGAUUAAUAGGGACAGUUGGGGCCGUUUAUAUUCCGUAGUCAGAGGUGAAAUUCUUGGAUUUACGGAAGAUAAACUACUGCGAAAGCAUUCGGCAAGGAUGUUUUCGUUAA
Molecule: ribosomal RNA, 374 nt
Filed under: uncultured eukaryote
Lineage: Eukaryota
Description: partial 18S ribosomal RNA
Rfam family: Eukaryotic small subunit ribosomal RNA
Source: RNAcentral